UGGUAAAAGAAAGCCCCGGACAGCGGACGGGCAAGGGAACAUGAGCAUGGAGAGCGGAAGCUCGGAAUGCGAAUGCUCCCGGAGGAUGGCGGGAGUGCGAAGCACGGAGGCAUCCGGCAUUCCCA
Eubacterium sp. An11 is the source of this 125-nucleotide non-coding RNA. The record is from Rfam. Lineage: Bacteria; Bacillati; Bacillota; Clostridia; Eubacteriales; Eubacteriaceae.